RNAcentral lists this transfer RNA (72 nucleotides) under Capillaster sp. DH-Y2. RNAcentral describes it as "tRNA-Ile". It matches the Rfam family "tRNA". Rfam says of the family: Transfer RNA (tRNA) molecules are approximately 80 nucleotides in length. Their secondary structure includes four short double-helical elements and three loops (D, anti-codon, and T loops). The record is from RNAcentral. Lineage: Eukaryota; Metazoa; Echinodermata; Crinoidea; Comatulida; Comatulidae.
GAAUCUGAACCCAAAAGGUUGGGCAUCUAGCUGAUAAUUAGAUUGUUUGAGGUUCAAUUCCUCUCAAAUUCU